Non-coding RNA from Lingula anatina, 45 nucleotides. Lineage: Eukaryota; Metazoa; Brachiopoda; Lingulata; Lingulida; Lingulidae. The record is from Rfam.
AAAACGGUCCUUUUCAGGACCACCAAAUAUUCAAGAAAAGCUAUA